This 825-nucleotide ribosomal RNA is filed under the name uncultured bacterium. RNAcentral's name for it is "bacterial SSU rRNA". It matches the Rfam family "Bacterial small subunit ribosomal RNA", at positions 28 to 898 of the family's 1533-position model. The record is from RNAcentral.
GAUGAACGCUGGCGGUAUGCUUAACACAUGCAAGUCGAACGGUCUCUUCGGAGAUAGUGGCGGACGGGUGAGUAACGCGUGAGAAUCUGGCUCUAGGUCGGGGACAACAGUUGGAAACGACUGCUAAUACCGGAUGUGCCGAAAGGUGAAAGAUUUAUUGCCUAGAGAUGAGCUCGCGUCUGAUUAGCUAGUUGGUGUGGUAAGAGCGCACCAAGGCGACGAUCAGUAGCUGGUCUGAGAGGAUGAUCAGCCACACUGGGACUGAGACACGGCCCAGACUCCUACGGGAGGCAGCAGUGGGGAAUUUUCCGCAAUGGGCGAAAGCCUGACGGAGCAAUACCGCGUGAGGGAGGAAGGCUCUUGGGUUGUAAACCUCUUUUCUCAAGGAAGAACAAAAUGACGGUACUUGAGGAAUAAGCAUCGGCUAACUCCGUGCCAGCAGCCGCGGUAAUACGGAGGAUGCAAGCGUUAUCCGGAAUGAUUGGGCGUAAAGGGUCCGCAGGUGGCAGUGUAAGUCUGCUGUUAAAGAAUGAGGCUCAACCUCAUCAAGGCAGUGGAAACUACACAGCUAGAGUACGGUCGGGGUAGAAGGAAUUCCUGGUGUAGCGGUGAAAUGCGUAGAGAUCAGGAAGAACACCGGUGGCGAAAGCGUUCUGCUAGACCUGUACUGACACUGAGGGACGAAAGCUAGGGGAGCGAAUGGGAUUAGAUACCCCAGUAGUCCUAGCCGUAAACGAUGGAUACUAGGCGUGGCUUGUAUCGACCCGAGCCGUGCCGGAGCCAACGCGUUAAGUAUCCCGCUGGGAGUACGCACGCAAGUGUGAA